GACAGAGGAUGCAAGCGUUAUCCGGAAUGAUUGGGCGUAAAGCGUCCGUAGGUGGUUUAGUAAGUCUGCUGUUAAAGCGCGGGGCUUAACUCCGUAUCGGCAGUGGAAACUACUAGACUAGAGUGUGGUAGGGGUAGAGGGAAUUCCCAGUGUAGCGGUGAAAUGCGUAGAUAUUGGGAAGAACACCGGUGGCGAAGGCGCUCUACUGGGCCAUAACUGACACUGAUGGACGAAAGCUAGGGGAGCGAAAGGG
This 253-nucleotide ribosomal RNA is filed under the name uncultured bacterium. Its description in RNAcentral is "partial 16S ribosomal RNA". It matches the Rfam family "Bacterial small subunit ribosomal RNA", at positions 524 to 776 of the family's 1533-position model. The record is from RNAcentral.